CCUACGGGCGGCUGCAGUGGGGAAUAUUGGACAAUGGGGGCAACCCUGAUCCAGCCAUGCCGCGUGUGUGAAGAAGGCCCUCGGGUUGUAAAGCACUUUCAGUGAGGAAGAACGCCUGGUGGUUAAUACCCAUCAGGAAAGACAUCACUCACAGAAGAAGCACCGGCUAACUCCGUGCCAGCAGCCGCGGUAAUACGGAGGGUGCGAGCGUUAAUCGGAAUUACUGGGCGUAAAGCGCGCGUAGGUGGCUUGAUAAGCCGGUUGUGAAAGCCCCGGGCUCAACCUGAGAACGGCAUCCGGAACUGUCAAGCUAGAGUGCAGGAGAGGAAGGUAGAAUUCCCGGUGUAGCGGUGAAAUGCGUAGAGAUCGGGAGGAAUACCAGUGGCGAAGGCGGCCUUCUGGACUGACACUGACACUGAGGUGCGAAAGCGUGGGUAGCAAACAGGAUUAGAUACCCUGGUAGUC
RNAcentral lists this ribosomal RNA (465 nucleotides) under Vreelandella stevensii. RNAcentral describes it as "partial 16S ribosomal RNA". It matches the Rfam family "Bacterial small subunit ribosomal RNA", at positions 338 to 795 of the family's 1533-position model. Lineage: Bacteria; Pseudomonadati; Pseudomonadota; Gammaproteobacteria; Oceanospirillales; Halomonadaceae. The record is from RNAcentral.